Non-coding RNA from Camellia sinensis, 213 nucleotides. The record is from RefSeq and is a predicted model, not a curated record. Lineage: Eukaryota; Viridiplantae; Streptophyta; Magnoliopsida; Ericales; Theaceae.
GUUUCCACACGCGGACAUGGAUUGUCGUCCCAGAAAAAGACCGCGUUUGGGUUGGGAUGUUGCUCCUCAGGCCUUUAAGGCAUCAGAUUGGAGUCUAGGACCAAAAGAAUGUAUACUACUGCUUGGAUGGCGCCCUGAUGUUGCAGAAAUGAUUGAAGAAUUUGAUAAUUAUCUUGAACCUGGUAGUGUAUUGGAAAUAUUGUCAGAUGUGCC